AGAGCGAACGCUGGCGGCAGGCCUAACACAUGCAAGUCGAGCGCCCCGCAAGGGGAGCGGCAGACGGGAGAGUAACACGUGGGAACGUACCCUUUGGUUCGGAACAACACAGGGAAACUUGUGCUAAUACCGGAUAAGCCCUUACGGGGAAAGAUUUAUUGCCAAAGGAUCGGCCCGCGUCUGAUUAGCUUGUUGGUGAGGUAACGGCUCACCAAGGCUACGAUCAGUAGCUGGUCUGAGAGGAUGAUCAGCCUCACUGGGACUGAGACACGGCCCAGACUCCUACGGGAGGCAGCAGUGGGGAAUAUUGGACAAUGGCGCAAGCCUGAUCCAGCCAUGCCGCGUGGAUGAUGAAGGCCCUAGGGUUGUAAAGUCCUUUCGACGGGGAAGAUAAUGACGGUACCCGUAGAAGAGCCCGGCUAACUUCGUGCCAGCAGCCGC
This 441-nucleotide ribosomal RNA is filed under the name uncultured bacterium. RNAcentral describes it as "SSU rRNA". It matches the Rfam family "Bacterial small subunit ribosomal RNA", at positions 26 to 518 of the family's 1533-position model. The record is from RNAcentral.